AUUGAACGCUGGCGGCAGGCUUAACACAUGCAAGUCGAGCGGGGGAAGGUAGCUUGCUACCGGACCUAGCGGCGGACGGGUGAGGAAUGCUUAGGAAUCUGCCUAUUAGUGGGGGACAACAUCCCGAAAGGGAUGCUAAUACCGAAUACGUCCUAAGGGAGAAAGCAGCGGAUCUUCGGACCUUGCGCUAAUAGAUGAGCCUAAGUCGGAUUAGCUAGUUGGUGGGGUAAAGGCCUACCAAGGCGACGAUCUGUAGCGGGUCUGAGAGGAUGAUCCGCCACACUGGGACUGAGCCACGGCCCAGACUCCUACGGGAGGCAGCAGUGGGGAAUAUUGGACAAUGGGGGGAACCCUGAUCCAGCCAUGCCGCGUGUGUGAAGAAGGCCUUAUGGUUGUAAAGCACUUUAAGCGAGGAGGAGGCUACUCUAGUUAAUACCUAGGGAUAGUGGACGUUACUCGCAGAAUAAGCACGGGCUAACUCUGUGCCAGCCGCCGCCGUAA
Molecule: ribosomal RNA, 501 nt
Filed under: uncultured bacterium
Lineage: Bacteria
Description: partial 16S ribosomal RNA
Rfam family: Bacterial small subunit ribosomal RNA
Source: RNAcentral